AGAGGAUUUGGCUGUAGCAUCUGUCCCCAAAUUAAUCACCAGGGGUGAUUUGGCUGAUCUAAUUGGCUAGACCCCUUUCCUCCCU
This 85-nucleotide small RNA is filed under the name Aotus nancymaae (Ma's night monkey). Its description in RNAcentral is "7SK RNA (ENSANAG00000004544.1)". Lineage: Eukaryota; Metazoa; Chordata; Mammalia; Primates; Aotidae. The record is from Rfam by way of RNAcentral.